This 214-nucleotide ribosomal RNA is filed under the name Pinalitus oromii. RNAcentral's name for it is "partial 16S ribosomal RNA". Lineage: Eukaryota; Metazoa; Arthropoda; Insecta; Hemiptera; Miridae. The record is from RNAcentral.
AAUAUACUUUCUUUAUUUUAUAUAAAUNAAUUAAUUUUUUAGUUAAAAAGCUAAGAUUUUUUUAUAGGACGAGAAGACCCUAUAGAACUUUAUUUUCUACAUAUAUAUAUUUUAUAGAUUUUUAAAAUAUUAUAUAUUAAUAGUUAAUUUAAUUGGGGUGAUUGAAAAAAUUAUAUAACUUUUUCUAUUUUUAUCAUUUAUUUAUGAUGUUUUU